GGGGAUGAUCGGUUUCGACAUCGCCUGAGUCUCUGCGAGAAGCGGGCCGAGGAUGCAGGGUUAUCUCGUUAACGAUCUCUGCAAAACCAAUAAGUGCCGAAUCCAAGCGCACUGACUUCGCCCUCGCUGCGUAAGCGAGCCCGAUAGUCCGUCAGACCGUGUGUGAUCCCGACACGGACCCUGGCGUCAUCUAGGGAUCUUGCUGUGUGACGGCGUCUGGACGUCACGCGGGACUUUUUCCAGACUGGGCUCGUCGACUUAGGUGUCUGUGACAAAGGUCGGAGCCGAGCAGAACGUCUCUACAGACUGCGCCCGGAGAAAACGCAGUAUCCCAGCGAUGGACGGGGGUUCGAUUCCCCCCAUCUCCACCA
RNAcentral lists this transfer-messenger RNA (371 nucleotides) under Microbacteriaceae. Its description in RNAcentral is "Microbacterium sp024623595 Standard tmRNA". It matches the Rfam family "transfer-messenger RNA". Rfam says of the family: Bacterial tmRNA, also known as 10Sa RNA or SsrA, is named for its dual tRNA and mRNA-like properties. Its role is to liberate the mRNA from a stalled ribosome. To accomplish this part of the tmRNA is used as a reading frame that ends in a translation stop signal. Lineage: Bacteria; Bacillati; Actinomycetota; Actinomycetes; Micrococcales. RNAcentral also lists the same sequence under 3 other names. The record is from RNAcentral.